RNAcentral lists this ribosomal RNA (228 nucleotides) under uncultured bacterium. Its description in RNAcentral is "partial 16S ribosomal RNA". It matches the Rfam family "Bacterial small subunit ribosomal RNA", at positions 57 to 305 of the family's 1533-position model. The record is from RNAcentral.
GCAAGUCGAGCGCAGUCCUUCGGGGCACUAUGUUAGUGGCGCACGGGUGAGUAACACGUGGGAACGUACCCUUUAGUGCGGAAUAACCAAGGGAAACUUUGGCUAAUACCGCAUACGCCCUUCGGGGGAAAGAUUUAUCGCUAAAGGAUCGGCCCGCGCCUGAUUAGGUUGUUGGUGGGGUAAAAGCCUACCAAGCCGACGAUCAGUAGCUGGUCUGAGAGGACGAUC